CCUAUCAGAGGGGGAUAGCCCGGCGAAAGUCGGAUUAAUACCCCAUAAAACAGGGGUCCCGCAUGGGAAUAUUUGUUAAAGAUUCAUCGCUGAUAGAUAGGCAUGCGUUCCAUUAGGCAGUUGGCGGGGUAACGGCCCACCAAACCGACGAUGGAUAGGGGUUCUGAGAGGAAGGUCCCCCACAUUGGUACUGAGACACGGACCAAACUCCUACGGGAGGCAGCAGUGAGGAAUAUUGGUCAAUGGCCGAGAGGCUGAACCAGCCAAGUCGCGUGAAGGAAGAAGGAUCUAUGGUUUGUAAACUUCUUUUAUAGGGGAAUAAAGUGGAGGACGUGUCCUUUUUUGUAUGUACCCUAUGAAUAAGCAUCGGCUAACUCCGUGCCAGCAGCCGCGGUAAUACGGAGGAUGCGAGCGUUAUCCGGAUUUAUUGGGUUUAAAGGGUGCGUAGGUGGUGAUUUAAGUCAGCGGUGAAAGUUUGUGGCUCAACCAUAAAAUUGCCGUUGAAACUGGGUUACUUGAGUGUGUUUGAGGUAGGCGGAAUGCGUGGUGUAGCGGUGAAAUGCAUAGAUAUCACGCAGAACUCCGAUUGCGAAGGCAGCUUACUAAACCAUAACUGACACUGAAGCACGAAAGCGUGGGGAUCAAACAGGAUUAGAUACCCUGGUAGUCCACGCAGUAAACGAUGAUUACUAGGAGUUUGCGAUACAAUGUAAGCUCUA
Molecule: ribosomal RNA, 719 nt
Filed under: uncultured bacterium
Lineage: Bacteria
Description: bacterial SSU rRNA
Rfam family: Bacterial small subunit ribosomal RNA
Source: RNAcentral